CUCCACUGUAAUCAUUUUUGUCACAAAUGAUCUGACCCUUUUUCUUUUCCUCUUUGUACCUUGCACGAUUCCGAUGACCGUGACUAAUGGCGAUUGUUUUAGCUGGCAUGCCUGGUAAGCACAAGUUUCUGUUUAUUCACCCCGUAAUCACUUUGACCUUAACCUCCUCUUCCUGUUUGUCUGAUGGAUGUCCAGAUCGAUAUCCGGAAUUGUCCACCGGUACGUAGAAGCAUGUGUGCCUCCUUUAAUCAACUGACUCCAGCUUUAAAUGAAUAUUUCUGCAGUUUUCAAGAUUCGGCAAGCGAAGCGUUGAGAAUGUGGAAGACAUUCCCUAUCCGGUGCUGCUGAAGGGAAAUUCCAAGAACCUAGCGGAAGUACUCUGGAGACUGUGGAUUCUGAGGGACCUGACCGAUAUGUCAUCUGCUGGCGGCGUCAACGACCCCGUCUUUCAGUCGUCUUCAUAAUUUUUGUCAUCUUCGCUUAUGGGUUGCCUGCUUUUGAGUUUUGGUUAUUAAGUCCUACCUAUGAAGCUUCCGAAACAUGUACAAAUUAUUUCAUGCUGUAUAGCUCUCAGUUUUUCCGUCAGUUUAUUUGUUUCUGAGUUUUCUGCAUUUCUUUUUGUAGCGCUACGUCCGUCGCAAAGCCCUUAGCUUAAACCGCUCGCAAACUCGCAAUACAUCGGUUGCAUAACUGUCAUGACAGCUCUAAGAUU
Molecule: long non-coding RNA, 712 nt
Organism: Paramacrobiotus metropolitanus
Lineage: Eukaryota; Metazoa; Tardigrada; Eutardigrada; Parachela; Macrobiotidae
Exons: 4
Source: RefSeq, a predicted model, not a curated record